RNAcentral lists this ribosomal RNA (469 nucleotides) under uncultured bacterium. RNAcentral's name for it is "partial 16S ribosomal RNA". It matches the Rfam family "Bacterial small subunit ribosomal RNA", at positions 29 to 523 of the family's 1533-position model. The record is from RNAcentral.
AACAAACGCUGGCGGCGUGCCUAAUACAUGCAAGUCGAACGAGGUAGCAAUACCUAGUGGCGCACGGGUGAGUAACGCGUGGAUAAUCUGCCUUUGAGUGGGGGAUAACUAGUCGAAAGAUUAGCUAAUACCGCAUAAGACCACAGGAACUGAGGAUCUAGGGGUUAAAGGUUUUUCGCUCAUAGUUGAGUCCGCGUGAGAUUAGCUAGUUGGUGAGGUAACGGCUCACCAAGGCGACGAUCUCUAACUGGUCUGAGAGGAUGAUCAGUCACACUGGAACUGAGACACGGUCCAGACUCCUACGGGAGGCAGCAGUAGGGAAUAUUGCACAAUGGAGGAAACUCUGAUGCAGCGACGCCGCGUGAGUGAUGAAGGCUUUCGGGUCGUAAAGCUCUGUCGCAGGGGAAUAACACAAUGAAUGUACCCUGUAAGAAAGGAUCGGCUAACUUCGUGCCAGCCGCCGCGGUAA